RNAcentral lists this ribosomal RNA (465 nucleotides) under uncultured bacterium. RNAcentral's name for it is "partial 16S ribosomal RNA". It matches the Rfam family "Bacterial small subunit ribosomal RNA", at positions 28 to 507 of the family's 1533-position model. The record is from RNAcentral.
GACGAACGCUGGCGGCGUGCUUAACACAUGCAAGUCGAGCGAGGCCCCUCCUUCGGGAGGGUGUCCUAGCGGCGAACGGGUGAGUAACACGUGGGCAACCUGCCCUCAGCUCUGGGAUAACUCCGGGAAACCGGGGCUAAUACCGGAUACGACUUCCACGGGCAUCUGCGGAGGUGGAAAGUUUUUCGGCUGAGGAUGGGCCCGCGGCCUAUCAGCUAGUUGGUGGGGUAGUGGCCCACCAAGGCGACGACGGGUAGCCGGCCUGAGAGGGCGACCGGCCACACUGGGACUGAGACACGGCCCAGACUCCUACGGGAGGCAGCAGUGGGGAAUAUUGCGCAAUGGGCGAAAGCCUGACGCAGCGACGCCGCGUGAGGGACGAAGGCCUUCGGGUUGUAAACCUCUUUCAGCAGGGACGAAGCGAAAGUGACGGUACCUGCAGAAGAAGCACCGGCCAACUACGUG